This 406-nucleotide ribosomal RNA is filed under the name uncultured bacterium. RNAcentral's name for it is "partial 16S ribosomal RNA". It matches the Rfam family "Bacterial small subunit ribosomal RNA", at positions 30 to 526 of the family's 1533-position model. The record is from RNAcentral.
AUUGAACGCUGGCGGCAGGCUUAACACAUGCAAGUCGAGCGAGCGGCGGACGGGUGAGUAAUGUCUGGGAAACUGCCUGAUGGAGGGGGAUAACUACUGGAAACGGUAGCUAAUACCGCAUACCAUCAGAUGUGCCCAGAUGGGAUUAGCUAGUAGGUGGGGUAAAGGCUCACCUAGGCGACGAUCCCUAGCUGGUCUGAGAGGAUGACCAGCCACACUGAGACUGUGACACGGUCCAGACUCCUACGUGAGGCAGCAGUGGGGAAUAUUGCACAAUGGGCGAAAGCCUGAUGCAGCCAGGCCGAGUGUAUGACGAAGGCCUUCGGGUUGUAAAGCACUUUCAGCGAGGAGGCGUUAAUCGCAGAAGAAGCACCGGCUAACUCCGUGCCAGCAGCCGCGGUAAUAC